Molecule: ribosomal RNA, 498 nt
Filed under: uncultured bacterium
Lineage: Bacteria
Description: partial 16S ribosomal RNA
Rfam family: Bacterial small subunit ribosomal RNA
Source: RNAcentral
AUUGAACGCUGGCGGCAUGCCUUACACAUGCAAGUCGAACGGUAACAGGUCUUCGGAUGCUGACGAGUGGCGAACGGGUGAGUAAUACAUCGGAACGUGCCCGAUCGUGGGGGAUAACGAAGCGAAAGCUUUGCUAAUACCGCAUAAGAUCUACGGAUGAAAGCAGGGGACCGCAAGGCCUUGCGCGAACGGAGCGGCCGAUGGCAGAUUAGGUAGUUGGUGGGAUAAAAGCUUACCAAGCCGAAGAUCUGUAGCUGGUCUGAGAGGACGACCAGCCACACUGGGACUGAGACACGGCCCAGACUCCUACGGGAGGCAGCAGUGGGGAAUUUGGGAAAAUGGGCGAAAGCCUGAUCCAGCCAUGCCGCGUGCAGGAUGAAGGCCUUCGGGUUGUAAACUGCUUUUGUACGGAACGAAAAGACUCUUUCUAAUAAAGAGGGUCCAUGACGGUACCGUAAGAAUAAGCACCGGCUAACUACGUGCCAGCCGCCGCCGUAA